AGAGUUUGAUCCUGGCUCAAAACGAACGCUGGCGGCGCGUCUUAAGCAUGCAAGUCGAGCGGGAAUAUCUAGCUUGCUAGAUAUGAGAGCGGCGGACUGGUGAGUAACGCGUGGGUGACGCACCCUUGUGACGGGGACAGCUCCUAGAAAUAGGAGGUAAUACCGGAUAAUCUGCACGGUGUUAGAGGCCGUGCAGGAAAGCUUCUUUUGAAGCGCACGAGGAGCGGCCCGCGUACUAUUAGUUAGUUGGCGGGGUAACGGCCCACCAAGGCGACGAUAGUUAUCCGGCCUGAGAGGGUGAACGGACACAUUGGGACUGAGAUACGGCCCAAACUCCUACGGGAGGCAGCAGCUAAAAAUAUUCCGCAAUGGAGGAAACUCUGACGGAGCGACGCUGCGUGAACGAUGAAGGCCGGAAGGUUGUAAAGUUCUUUUGUACGCGAGGAAUAAAGGAAGUGAGGGAAACGCUUCCAGGUGACGGUAGCGUGCGAAUAAGGGGCGGCUAAUUACGUGCCAGCAGCCGCGGUAACACGUAAGCCCCGAGCGUUGUUCGGAAUUAUUGGGCGUAAAGGGCAUGUAGGCGGUCCAGCAAGCCCGGUGUGAAAGGCGGGGGCUCAACCCCCGGACUGCGCCGGGAACUGCAGGGCUGGAGUUACUGAGGGGCAGCCGGAAUUCCAGGUGUAGGGGUGAAAUCUGUAGAUAUCUGGAAGAACACCAAUGGCGAAGGCAGGCUGCCAGCAGAUAACUGACGCUGAGGUGCGAAGGUGCGGGGAGCAAACAGGAUUAGAUACCCUGGUAGUCCGCACAGUCAACUAUGUGCACUAGGUGUCCGGCCAUAAGGCUGGGUGCCGAAGCGAACGCGAUAAGUGCACCGCCUGGGGAGUAUGCCCGCAAGGGUGAAACUCAAAGGAAUUGACGGGGGCCCGCACAAGCGGUGGAGCAUGUGGUUUAAUUCGAUGGUACGCGAGGAACCUUACCUGGGUUUGACAUACAUUCUGAUACAGUAGAGAUACUGUAGCGUAGCAAUACGAGGAUGAACAGGUGCUGCAUGGCUGUCGUCAGCUCGUGCCGUGAGGUGUUGGGUUAAGUCCCGCAACGAGCGCAACCCCUACUGCCAGUUACCAACACGUAAAGGUGGGGACUCUGGCGGAACUGCCGGUGACAAACCGGAGGAAGGCGGGGAUGACGUCAAGUCAUCAUGGCCCUUAUGUCCAGGGCUACACACGUGCUACAAUGGCAGGUACAAAGCGAAGCGAGGCCGCGAGGCGGAGCAAAGCGCAUAAAGCCUGUCGUAGUUCGGAUAGGAGUCUGAAACCCGACUCCUUGAAGUUGGAAUCGCUAGUAAUCGCGCAUCAGCACGGCGCGGUGAAUACGUUCCCGGGCCUUGUACACACCGCCCGUCACACCAUCCGAGUGGAGGGUACCCGAAGCCGCGAGCCUAACCGUAAGGAGGGCCGUGUCGAAGGUACGCUUCGUGAGGGGGGUGAAGUCGUAACAAGGUAGC
RNAcentral lists this ribosomal RNA (1504 nucleotides) under uncultured rumen bacterium. RNAcentral describes it as "16S ribosomal RNA". It matches the Rfam family "Bacterial small subunit ribosomal RNA". The record is from RNAcentral.